This 757-nucleotide small RNA is filed under the name Pan troglodytes (chimpanzee). RNAcentral's name for it is "processed transcript". Lineage: Eukaryota; Metazoa; Chordata; Mammalia; Primates; Hominidae. The record is from RNAcentral.
GGAGGCUCUCACUUUCCGUCAUGGCGCUGAAAGUAGCGACCGUCGCCGGCAGCGCCGCGAAGGCGGUGCUCAGGCCAGCCCUUCUCUGCCGUCCCUGGGAGAUGAGGCCAUGAAGCCAUCUCAAGAAGAGUGGAUGGUGGAUUUGGACCGAGGCCUCCCUAGUCUCCAGAUCUUUUUUCAUUUUCUGAUGUGCUUGUUCACUCAGGAAAUGUUCCUUAUGUGCCAGCUCUGGGCCAGCGACCACAUGCUGCUUUUGUAAUAAGAAAAAGUGAUCGGCGAAGUGAUAACGUGACUGUUGUCAUGGAUCUGUGGUUUGUUGUAAUGAUUUCCCUGCUGUACCAGGGUUAGUUUGCCACCUCCGUCCGCUAAGUAUGGCGGGCGGCACACGGUGACCAUGAUCCCAGGGGAUGGCAUCGGGCCAGAGCUCAUGCUGCAUGUCAAGUCCGUCUUCAGGCACGCAUGUGUACCAGUGGACUUUGAAGAGGUGCACGUGAGUUCCAAUGCUGAUGAAGAGGACAUUCGCAAUGCCAUCAUGGCCAUCCGCCGGAACCGCGUGGCCCUGAAGGGCAACAUCGAAACCAACCAUAACCUGCCACCGUCGCACAAAUCUCGAAACAACAUCCUUCGCACCAGCCUGGACCUCUAUGCCAACGUCAUCCACUGUAAGAGCCUUCCAGGCGUGGUGACCCGGCACAAGGACAUAGACAUCCUCAUUGUCCGGGAGAACACAGAGGGCGAGUACAGCAGCCUGGAGCAU